This 253-nucleotide ribosomal RNA is filed under the name uncultured bacterium. RNAcentral describes it as "partial 16S ribosomal RNA". It matches the Rfam family "Bacterial small subunit ribosomal RNA", at positions 524 to 776 of the family's 1533-position model. The record is from RNAcentral.
UACGGGGGGGGCAAGCGUUGUUCGGAAUUACUGGGCGUAAAGGGCUCGUAGGCGGCCAACUAAGUCAUACGUGAAAUCCCUCGGCUUAACCGGGGAACUGCGUCUGAUACUGGAUGGCUUGAGAUUGGGAGAGGGAUGCGGAGUUCCAGGUGUAGCGGUGAAAUGCGUAGAUAUCUGGAGGAACACCGGUGGCGAAGGCGGCAUCCUGGACCAACACUGACGCUGAGGAGCGAAAGCCAGGGGAGCAAACGGG